UGCAAGAGAAGGGAUUUGAACUUGGGACCUCUAACUAACUUUCAUGCUUACACAUUUAAAACUAAUCACUUAGCUAAAUCCUUAUUAUUUUUUAUUAUAUAUUUUUACAUUUUUAUUAACUUAAAUUUUGAAAUGUUACAGCUCUACCCCCUUAAGAAAAUUUUAUCCUCAAAAUUACCUAAUUCGAAAAGAUUAGGAUAUUGAAGCC
RNAcentral lists this long non-coding RNA (208 nucleotides) under Gossypium barbadense (sea-island cotton). RNAcentral describes it as "long non-coding RNA (GBAR_LNC000292)". The record is from RNAcentral. Lineage: Eukaryota; Viridiplantae; Streptophyta; Magnoliopsida; Malvales; Malvaceae.